CUGUUUUCAAAACAGAGCAAACUUUCUACUGAAGAAACCUGUUAAUAUUUCUGCAGAUUGAGGGCAUGACAUCAGACAAAUUAGAUAUGAUUUUCAGGGGAGGAAGAAAAAACAGUUUGGACCUUAAAAAAUAAGCAAGCUGGCCGGGCGCGGUGGCUCACACCUGUUAUCCCAGCACUUUGGGAGGCUGAGGCUGGUGGAUCACAAGGUCAAGAGAUCAAGACCAUCCUGGCCAACACGGAGUAUAUAUGCCAAAAUUGGAGCUGAAUCAGUCAUACUCUGCUUUACUCUGAGGUGGCCAUGUGAAGACAGUGAAAACACGUUUGCUUCCUCUUCACCUUCUACCAUGACUGUAAGUUUCCUGAGUCCUCCCCAGCCAUGCUUCCUGUACAGUCUGUGGAACUUGUUUUCCAAAUUAUUAAGAAGCCCCUACUAUGUACUGGGCCCACCUCUAAGCUUCAGGAGAAAAAUAGUAAAAUAG
RNAcentral lists this long non-coding RNA (481 nucleotides) under Callithrix jacchus (white-tufted-ear marmoset). Its description in RNAcentral is "lncRNA (ENSCJAG00000077333.1)". The record is from RNAcentral. Lineage: Eukaryota; Metazoa; Chordata; Mammalia; Primates; Cebidae.